AUGUCGAGGGUGGUGGCGAUGCUGGCGGGCGACGUCGAGGCGCCCGACUGGGUGCCGAAGCCCAGCUACAUCACGGAAUGGCAGAUCAAGGGUGGCGGCGACACCAGCUACAUGAGCUCCGAGGUCAACGGGCAGUCAAGCUCGGUGCCGGCGCCAUUCCUAGGCUCUGUCAUCGACCAAGGCCGUUGA
This 189-nucleotide ribosomal RNA is filed under the name Triticum aestivum (bread wheat). RNAcentral's name for it is "partial small subunit ribosomal RNA". The record is from RNAcentral. Lineage: Eukaryota; Viridiplantae; Streptophyta; Magnoliopsida; Poales; Poaceae.